AGGACGAACGCUGGCGGCGUGCUUAACACAUGCAAGUCGAGCGGAAAGGCCCUUCGGGGUACUCGAGCGGCGAACGGGUGAGUAACACGUGAGUAAUCUGCCCCUAGCUCUGGGAUAGCUCCGGGAAACCGGGAUUAAUACCAGAUACGACCACUUUAGACAUCUGCUGUGGUGGAAAGAAUUUCGGCUAGGGAUGAGCUCGCGGCCUAUCAGCUUGUUGGUGAGGUAACGGCUCACCAAGGCGACGACGGGUAGCCGGCCUGAGAGGGCGACCGGCCACACUGGGACUGAGACACGGCCCAGACUCCUACGGGAGGCAGCAGUGGGGAAUAUUGCGCAAUGGGCGAAAGCCUGACGCAGCGACGCCGCGUGGGGGAUGAAGGCCGUUCGGGUUGUAACCCCUUUCAGCAGGGACGAAGCGAAGUGACGGUACCUGCAGAAGAAGCGCCGGCUAACUACGUGCCAGCAGCCGCGGUA
Molecule: ribosomal RNA, 477 nt
Filed under: uncultured bacterium
Lineage: Bacteria
Description: SSU rRNA
Rfam family: Bacterial small subunit ribosomal RNA
Source: RNAcentral